RNAcentral lists this ribosomal RNA (975 nucleotides) under Anthocephalum cf. caira DJM-2021. Its description in RNAcentral is "16S ribosomal RNA". The stretch from base 633 to 975 matches the Rfam family "Bacterial large subunit ribosomal RNA", at positions 2049 to 2708 of the family's 2925-position model. The record is from RNAcentral. Lineage: Eukaryota; Metazoa; Platyhelminthes; Cestoda; Rhinebothriidea; Anthocephaliidae.
AUUAUAAUAUGCUAUCAUCCUUUGUAUAUUUGGUUAAUGUUCCUUUUGCAUCAUGAUUAAAUGAGGAGCUUAGUUAAGACUUUAUAUCGAAAGCUAAGGAUUUUUGCACUCACUGAUUUGUUCUAUAAAGAACCAGGUAGGUUCUUAUAGAUGAGUGCUACGUUGUGAUAAGUUAGACGACUUAGCUUAUAAACUAUUUAAUAGCUUGCAUUCCGAACAACUGUGUUAGCUAGGAGGUUAGCACAGCAUGUAUACCUUUAAUUUACGUGUAAACAGGGUAAGGUUAAAAUUACCUUUCUAUAAGGAGUUUAUUACAAAUCUUCUUAAAAGGAUUUGCUUUGGGUUACCUGAAGGGGCUAUUCUCGAUGUUAAAUAUACGUUAAUCGUAUAUGUUUAAACAAGUAAUUGUUAUUAGUUUGGUUUAUUGUUUCUCAGAAAUUGCCCGUCUGUUUAUUAAAAACAUUUCCAUAUGUGAAGAAUAUAUGGUAGUACCUGCUCUAUGUGUGUAUAAAUGGCCGCAGUAUCUUGACUGUGCGAAGGUAGCAUAAUUAAUUGCCUUAUAAUUGAGGGCUUGUUUGAAUGGUUUGACGAGGUAAUAUUUGAACAUUAACGCUUUAUUUGAAACUACUUUAGAGGGCACAGAAGCCUCUAUGGUUAAUUAGACGGAAAGACCCCGGGAUCUUUUGUUUUUGCUUGGGGCAAGUUAAGGUGUUUCACCUUUAUUUAGACCCUUUUUGGUUUAGUGGGCUAAGUUACCCCGGGGAUAACAGUGUAAUAGUUUAUUAGAGAUCCUAUCGAUUAAACUGCUUGUUACCUCGAUGUUGACUUAGGUUAUAGCUUGUGCGCAGUAGUUCAAGCUUUAGGUCUGUUCGACCUUGUAGCCUCCAUGAGUUGAGUUAAGACCGGCGUAAGCCAGGUCGGUUCUUAUCUAUUGUUGUAAUCUGCUAGUACGAAAGGAUUGCAGAUUGUUUUUUU